GGGGCCCAGUGCUCCUCUGCUCCUCUUCUUCCUUUUGUCAUGGCCGGGACCCCUUCAGGGACAGCAGCACCACCUUGUGGAGUACAUGGAACGCCGACUAGCUGCCUUAGAGGGCCUUUGCUUGCCUGGGAGUUAUAGCCCUGCAGCCCGCCCCUUCUCUGGUUUCCCCGGCCCGUCAGGAGCGGCUGGCACAGUGCCAGGAUCAGAGCAGUCGGCAUGCUGCUGAGCUUCGGGACUUCAAAAACAAGAUGCUGCCUCUACUGGAGGUGGCAGAGAAGGAGCGGGAAACACUCAGAACCGAGGCAGACAGCAUUUCAGGAAGAGUGGACCGUCUUGAACGGGAAGUAGACUACCUGGAGACACAGAACCCAGCUUUGCCCUGUGUAGAACUGGAUGAG
RNAcentral lists this long non-coding RNA (398 nucleotides) under Rattus norvegicus (Norway rat). RNAcentral describes it as "long non-coding RNA NONRATT016732". Lineage: Eukaryota; Metazoa; Chordata; Mammalia; Rodentia; Muridae. The record is from RNAcentral.